ACGAACGCUGGCGGCGUGCCUAAUACAUGCAAGUAGAACGCUGAAGAGAGGAGCUUGCUCUUCUUGGAUGAGUUGCGAACGGGUGAGUAACGCGUAGGUAACCUGCCUUGUAGCGGGGGAUAACUAUUGGAAACGAUAGCUAAUACCGCAUAACAAUGGAUGACACAUGUCAUUUAUUUGAAAGGGGCAAUUGCUCCACUACAAGAUGGACCUGCGUUGUAUUAGCUAGUAGGUGAGGUAACGGCUCACCUAGGCGACGCUACAUAGCCGACCUGAGAGGGUGAUCGGCCACACUGGGACUGAGACACGGCCCAGACUCCUACGGGAGGCAGCAGUAGGGAAUCUUCGGCAAUGGGGGCAACCCUGACCGAGCAACGCCGCGUGAGUGAAGAAGGUUUUCGGAUCGUAAAGCUCUGUUGUAAGUCAAGAACGAGUGUGAGAGUGGAAAGUUCACACUGUGACGGUAGCUUACCAGAAAGGGACGGCUAACUACGUG
This 496-nucleotide ribosomal RNA is filed under the name uncultured bacterium. RNAcentral's name for it is "partial 16S ribosomal RNA". It matches the Rfam family "Bacterial small subunit ribosomal RNA", at positions 29 to 507 of the family's 1533-position model. The record is from RNAcentral.